AGGAAUUAUGGUAGACCUGAGCAUAUUGCAUGUAGGAAAGCACUGCGUUACACAUAUACCCAAGACAACAUGUCACAAGGUAAUACCUUGAUUUUAUUUUGCAGCCUACUUGUACACUGGGAAAUAAUGCUGUGACUGCAGUCUUCAAAGGCAACAGGUGAAUUUAAUACAUCUGUGGUAAGGGACUGACAAUUCUGUUCCUUGUGAUGAGGUGCAUUUCCUUCAAGCUGUGCUUCAAGAACAUGUGACUGGAAAGAUGGUGAAAUGGCUGGAGACUUAACUGGUGAAGUUUCUCCUUGUAGUCAUCUCUGGCAUCAUUCUGGUUUUGCCCUCCAUACUCACAUGGCACCUGAGACAAGUGUAUGGAUCUGCACUGACUGCUGGGGAAGCACUGGUGUGCAGCUGUGGCUGUAUCCUCCCUGCUCCGCAUAGAGCUUUGCCUGACUCCAAACGUGGGGACCUUGUGUGACUGGAGGGAAGAGGCAAGGUGCUGGCCCCAGAGCCAGGCUGAGAAAUCAGCAGGUGCUGAACUGGGUUUCCCUGCCUGUGUCAGGCAGUUCAGCUGUCCACAGCUCUGUGCACUGCUUUUCACUUUGAAGACAGUUCUUCAGAAACCCUGAAGACUGAAACAUUCAGGGCAUCCCAAGUACCUCUCUGCUUUUGUGUGGAUUCCCAGCCUUGGACUACUGAGAGUGGCAAUGAUUCAUUUUUUAAAUAUGGAAAUCACAAUUACUGUCAAAAUGUAGGAAGUGUCAUUGAAUUUUCUCUGGAAGACUUUCCCUGGUGAAAAACCAGGAUUGAAGCUAAUAGUGCUAAUGGCUCUUAAACAGCUCUUGAUCCUUUUGAAUUAAUUACCAGGGGUGAAAGUUGCUGAGUUACUCGUGAGUCCAUAGAAGUUGACAACUAUUCUCUUGAAAGCAUAAAGGAUGAAUAUCAUUUUGGUACAGUGAGAUGUUAAUGUUUUCUUUCACAGUUGAUGGGGACCUAAAAUGAGGAAACAAGCAAUGUCCCUGUUGACUACAGAUUAUAAAAAUUCAAUGCAGAAUCUGGUAUCUCCAGCUGUAACCCAAGGUGGAUAAUAUUUUGAAAUAAAAUUUACCACUGUGUUUUUACA
RNAcentral lists this long non-coding RNA (1114 nucleotides) under Anas platyrhynchos platyrhynchos (common mallard). RNAcentral's name for it is "lncRNA (ENSAPLG00000017216.1)". Lineage: Eukaryota; Metazoa; Chordata; Aves; Anseriformes; Anatidae. The record is from RNAcentral.